Molecule: long non-coding RNA, 176 nt
Organism: Bufo bufo (common toad)
Lineage: Eukaryota; Metazoa; Chordata; Amphibia; Anura; Bufonidae
Exons: 4
Source: RefSeq, a predicted model, not a curated record
AUUCGUUUUUUUUUUUUUAACAAAAUUACAGUACACAUAUAAUUGAUUGUUUCCCAAAGGUCCAAAAGCUCAGAUCUUAGUCACAUUGCCGAGAAAGUGAUUGAGGCGCGAAUAUUCGUAAUGCGAUUUUAUUAGCGCACAUGCGAAUAUCGGCUCUUCCCAGGACAGAGGCAAAG